AAGUGCAACUGUCCGGCCAGGCCAGCGAAGAGACUGGGCGUCCCGAGGGCUGCAGAUGGAGCUGGGAGUGGGAGGCGCCUCCUGUGGGUGGUUGCUAAUCACUCACAGCAAACCAGUUGGUCCAGGAGGAAAGAGGAAGAAGAAAGUAAGCGGAUCGGUGGGGACGAAAAGGAAUCAGAAGGGCGAUGCGGGGAAGCAGAGGACAGGAGAGGAAGGAAGGACCACUCAGACGCUGAGCGGCCGCUAGGAAGUCAGCCCUGCGCGGGACUGGGCGGGUCCGGGGCGCGCGGGGCUGCAGGCGGAGCCCGGGUGCGCCCGGGAGCCCGGCAGAUGCUGGAGAGUCCGCCCAAGGCCUUCCCGCUGCCUCGGCCGCCGCCGGAGACCGCAGGGCACUCGCGCGGCCGGGCCACCCGGGCCGUCCCCGGCUCCCCGCGCGUCCAGGCCGCGCCUCCCCACCGCCCGCGGGGCCCGGCGACGUCACUGCGGCUCUGACGCGCGCUAACGGAGGCGCGGGCGGAGAAGGCGCGGGGCGGCGCGAGUGUCCUCGCGGGAGGUCCGGUCCUCGCAGCCCGUGGGCCGCUUUCUUGGCCCUCCUCCAGGGGAACCUCGAUUUUUCCAAACUCUGGAAGGCCGGCUGUCCUUCGGCCACUGAUAAGGACAGCUAGCACCUGGUAAAAGAUUUUAACAAUGCCCGCAAAGAAAUAGCCGGACCCAGGAAAGACUAGUAAGUGCCGCCAGCUAGAGUUCUGCUCGUGUGCUCGGCGGUCCUAGGGACAAUAAUAACGACCACAACCACAGUAGCCACCAUUUAUUGAGCGCUUACUCUGUGCCAGGCACGGUGUUAAACGCUUUGCAGGCAACAAACCCUCGGAGGUGCCAGAUAGAGAUGCGCCUCCCGAAAUCCGGUCGGGGACCAGUCGGCGAGGUCCUCUGAAGGGAUGGAGCCGGGGCGGAGGCAGCAGGAGGGAUCCCGGGUCCCACCUGCAGAUCUGCGUUGACUGGCGGCUUGCCCCGCGCGGCCGGCAGAGGGCGCUGCCGCACGCGCCUCGGGUCCCACGAUCCCCAGACCCUGGGGCUGGCGGGCCUCCGCUUGCAGGCCUGGAGACUCAGAACCCCAAAGUGGGAGCCUUUUAUUCCGCGUAGCUGGCACCCCCCCUCCCCCCACCUCCCCAUCUGGCCCUUCGUCUCAGCCUUGGGCCUGCUUUUCCUGACCACUCUUCCCCAUCGUGUGUGCUCCUGCCACCCCAACCAUCUGCCUUCAAGAUUUCCCCAAUCCCUGCACUGUUGGUGUGGUCACCUCUUAAGAGGCAAGAACACCGAUCCUAUCCCAUUAAAAGACAUCCCAUGAUAAGUCAAA
Bubalus bubalis (water buffalo) is the source of this 1357-nucleotide long non-coding RNA. RefSeq lists it as uncharacterized. The transcript has 2 exons. Lineage: Eukaryota; Metazoa; Chordata; Mammalia; Artiodactyla; Bovidae. The record is from RefSeq and is a predicted model, not a curated record.